UACGGAGGAUGCGAGCGUUAUCCGGAUUUAUUGGGUUUAAAGGGUGCGUAGGCGGACGCUUAAGUCAGCGGUAAAAUUGCGGGGCUCAACCUCGUCGAGCCGUUGAAACUGGGUGCCUUGAGUGGGCGAGAAGUACGCGGAAUGCGUGGUGUAGCGGUGAAAUGCAUAGAUAUCACGCAGAACUCCGAUUGCGAAGGCGGCGUACCGGCGCCCAACUGACGCUGAAGCACGAAGGCGUGGGUAUCGAACAGG
Molecule: ribosomal RNA, 252 nt
Filed under: uncultured bacterium
Lineage: Bacteria
Description: partial 16S ribosomal RNA
Rfam family: Bacterial small subunit ribosomal RNA
Source: RNAcentral